Rana temporaria (common frog) is the source of this 316-nucleotide long non-coding RNA. RefSeq lists it as uncharacterized. The transcript is spliced from 2 exons. Lineage: Eukaryota; Metazoa; Chordata; Amphibia; Anura; Ranidae. The record is from RefSeq and is a predicted model, not a curated record.
UUUCAGAUUCAGAUACUGUUGUGUGUCAGCUCUAUUGUUAUGCCCCUUAUGGGCUUUUGAGGGGCCCCAGAUUCCCCGUUUAAGUGAUGUGAGGACUCAAAUAAGAGCAUUCAUAUACUUUGCCAAACUUGUAUCAUCUGGCUGCCAUCUUAAAGCGUGAGUCCUGAAGGAGCUAAUGUAGUGAAAGGUGUCGAUUCACAUGCUUGUACACUUUCCCAAGUGUCGCUUUUUGAUUGCAUCACCUCUCAUGUAUAUUGUGUUUUUUAAUGGAUGGUGGUUUUUAACAUGUUAUAAUAAAUAGAUUAUUUUUAUAUUA